GCUUGUCUCAAAGAUUAAGCCAUGCAUGUCUAAGUAUAAGCAUUAUACAGUGAAACUGCGAAUGGCUCAUUAUAUCAGUUAUAGUUUAUUUGAUGGUCCUUGCUACUUGGAUAACCGUAGUAAUUCUAGAGCUAAUACAUGCAUAAAUCCCCGACUGUUUGGAAGGGGUGUAUUUAUUAGAUGGAAACCAAUUCGGGGCAACCCGGCUCAUGGUGAUUCAUAAUAACUUUCGGAUCGACCUUUCGGUCGAUGCAUCAUUCAAGUUUCUGCCCUAUCAGUUUUGGAUGGUAGGGUAUUGGCCUACCAUGACUUUAACGGGUAACGGAGAAUUAGGGUUCGAUUCCGGAGAGGGAGCCUGAGAAAUGGCUACCACAUCCAAGGAAGGCAGCAGG
This 392-nucleotide ribosomal RNA is filed under the name uncultured Synurales. Its description in RNAcentral is "partial small subunit ribosomal RNA". It matches the Rfam family "Eukaryotic small subunit ribosomal RNA", at positions 30 to 432 of the family's 1831-position model. Lineage: Eukaryota; Synurophyceae; Synurales. The record is from RNAcentral.